AGCUAUUUGCAGUGGUAGUAUCAUAGCCAAUGAGGUUUAUCUGAGGUGUGAUUAUUGCUAAUCACAAUGAUAGCAAUGAUGAAUGAUACCCUUUAUUUUUUAAGAUAACUCCAGGAGUUGUAAUGGAUAAAUCC
Molecule: small nuclear RNA, 134 nt
Organism: Lemur catta (Ring-tailed lemur)
Lineage: Eukaryota; Metazoa; Chordata; Mammalia; Primates; Lemuridae
Product: U4 spliceosomal RNA
Exons: 1
Source: RefSeq, a predicted model, not a curated record